CAGAGGGUGCAAACGUUGUUCGGAAUCACUGGGCGUAAAGCGCGUGUAGGCGGCCGCGUAAGUCGGGCGUGAAAUCCCACAGCUCAACUGUGGAAGUGCACUCGAAACUGCGUGGCUAGAGUCCUGGAGAGGAAGGUGGAAUACUUGGUGUAGAGGUGAAAUUCGUAGAUAUCAAGUGGAACACCGGUGGCGAAGGCGGCCUUCUGGACAGUGACUGACGCUGAGACGCGAAAGCGUGGGGAGCAAACAGGAUUAGAUACCCUGGUAGUCCACGCCGUAAACGAUGAGUGCUAGGUGUCACGGGCUUUGACCCUCGUGGUGCCGUAGCUAACGCGCUAAGCACUCCGCCUGGGGAGUACGGCCGCAAGGCU
This 371-nucleotide ribosomal RNA is filed under the name uncultured organism. Its description in RNAcentral is "bacterial SSU rRNA". It matches the Rfam family "Bacterial small subunit ribosomal RNA", at positions 526 to 895 of the family's 1533-position model. The record is from RNAcentral.